Molecule: long non-coding RNA, 1250 nt
Organism: Manis pentadactyla (Chinese pangolin)
Lineage: Eukaryota; Metazoa; Chordata; Mammalia; Pholidota; Manidae
Exons: 3
Source: RefSeq, a predicted model, not a curated record
GGCUAACGGAAUAAAAGAAAGAAAGGUCAACGGCUACAGCAUCCUACCAGGAAAGGUGAGGGAAGGAGUCAAGACCCCCUGGGCAGGACCCUCUCUGGCCCAUCCCCUGGGUCUUACAUGUCUUGGGGGAGUUAAGACAGGCAGAGCUGAAGACACUAAAGGCUUUGCCAGGUCACUGCCGCCCUACGUGAAAUCCUAAUGCACAGGACCUUGGCCUUCGACUAUAACCUGGAGCCUGAGGAGCACUUCAUGUCCUUUCUCCAGGCUGUGGAGCCCCUGGAUGAGGAGGAGAGGUGAGGCCAGCAGGAGUCAGGUGUGGGCUCCAGCUGCUGCCAGGCUCUGGGAGAAGGGCCCCCUGACAUGUGGCUCCAGGGGCUCAUAGUUGGCCCUCUGUCCUGCAGCUACACCCUGUCCUGCCAGCUGAAGCCCCCAGGCCAGAGGGCCAACAGAAAGGGACUGUUAUGGUUCUUCAUGUGCCUCAAUGUUUAAAUUUACUGGCCAGGGCCAGCUGCUGUCAUUGGCCCGCGGCCCUGCUGGUGUCCUGGCUGCAUGCGGGGGAGAGCUUCCCCUUCAGGCAGGUGGCAGCUGGCGCCCCAGGACCCUAGUCUUCCUGCUGUUCCUAUUCCUCCCGCUGCUUCUCCUGAGCCUCUGCUGGGGCAGGUGCUCUGGUGCCUCCUCGGUGGGCAGACUCGGGCAACUCCCCAGGCUGUUGCUGCAUCCUCAGGGGCCUGUAUGUAGCCAUGGCCAACCUGGCCACCUUCAUGCUGUGUCCUCCCCUCUGCUCAUGGCCCACUGGACAGAUGCAAGCCACCCCACCGUGCAGAGGAUGCGCCCCCUUGUGUUGGCAUCAAUAACGCUGGUGCCAACUGUUGCCUGGGUGCCAUCAGCCACCAAAUUGUAGACACAGGGUUCAAGGAAGAGGUGGGGGCUGUCCUCACCAGGCCCGGCCUUUCCCGGGAUGGACUUGGAUAUGGCACACUCCUGUGUGGGACCACUGGCCCCUGGGUGCCCAGCAGAGGCAUCCGGGGAUGCAGGGAUAGCCAGCUGUCACAGGGUCCUGGGGCAUGCUCCCAGGGGAGACCCCUGUGCAACUCCCUCCCCUCAUCCAUGAGAAAUAGCCUCCCUGAGGGCAGUGUGAUGUGGAUGCUGUCUCUGAGGUUUCUGGUUCCUGGGGACAGGGGUCAUCCCUGUGCAAGCAGAAUGUAAUAAAUGAUGAAAGGAUUGCCACUGCACUGCUCUUUCUUCUCAAA